UAUCCUGUCUGAAUAUGGGGGGACCAUCCUCCAAGGCUAAAUACUCCUGACUGACCGAUAGUGAACCAGUACCGUGAGGGAAAGGCGAAAAGAACCCCGGCGAGGGGAGUGAAAAAGAACCUGAAACCGUGUACGUACAAGCAGUGGGAGCCUCUUAAUGGGGUGACUGCGUACCUUUUGUAUAAUGGGUCAGCGACUUAUAUUCUGUAGCAAGGUUAACCGAAUAGGGGAGCCGAAGGGAAACCGAGUCUUAACUGGGCGUUAAGUUGCAGGGUAUAGACCCGAAACCCGGUGAUCUAGCCAUGGGCAGGUUGAAGGUUGGGUAACACUAACUGGAGGACCGAACCGACUAAUGUUGAAAAAUUAGCGGAUGACUUGUGGCUGGGGGUGAAAGGCCAAUCAAACCGGGAGAUAGCUGGUUCUCCCCGAAAGCUAUUUAGGUAGCGCCUCGUGAAUUCAUCUCCGGGGGUAGAGCACUGUUUCGGCAAGGGGGUCAUCCCGACUUACCAACCCGAUGCAAACUGCGAAUACCGGAGAAUGUUAUCACGGGAGACACACGGCGGGUGCUAACGUCCGUCGUGAAGAGGGAAACAACCCAGACCGCCAGCUAAGGUCCCAAAGUCAUGGUUAAGUGGGAAACGAUGUGGGAAGGCCCAGACAGCCAGGAUGUUGGCUUAGAAGCAGCCAUCAUUUAAAGAAAGCGUAAUAGCUCACUGGUCGAGUCGGCCUGCGCGGAAGAUGUAACGGGGCUAAACCAUGCACCGAAGCUGCGGCAGCGACACUAUGUG
This 788-nucleotide ribosomal RNA is filed under the name Escherichia coli. RNAcentral describes it as "partial 23S ribosomal RNA". It matches the Rfam family "Bacterial large subunit ribosomal RNA", at positions 430 to 1220 of the family's 2925-position model. Lineage: Bacteria; Pseudomonadati; Pseudomonadota; Gammaproteobacteria; Enterobacterales; Enterobacteriaceae. The record is from RNAcentral.